UACGGAGGGUGCAAGCGUUAUCCGGAUUUACUGGGUUUAAAGGGUGUGUAGGCGGACUUUUAAGUCCGUGGUGAAAUCUCCGGGCUCAACCCGGAAACUGCCAUGGAUACUAUUGGUCUUGAAUGUUGUUGAGGUGGGCGGAACGGGUCAUGUAGCGGUGAAAUGCAUAGAUAUGACCCGGAACACCGAUUGCGAAGGCAGCCCACGAAGCAAUGAUUGACGCUGAGGCACGAAAGCGUGGGGAUCAAACAGG
This 253-nucleotide ribosomal RNA is filed under the name uncultured bacterium. Its description in RNAcentral is "partial 16S ribosomal RNA". It matches the Rfam family "Bacterial small subunit ribosomal RNA", at positions 524 to 776 of the family's 1533-position model. The record is from RNAcentral.